GUCGGGUCCGCUAGUAUAUAAAUAAAAUUAAUUAAAUGAUGCGGAGAAAAAUAUAAACUAUAAAUAUUCUGAAUACUCUGCACCACCUACCAGCUGACAAACACAAGUACAAAAACAAAAGUAAUAAUUUAUAAAAAAUCACAGAUACUAAAGUAAAUACGAGACAAAUUUAGGAAGAAAAAACAAAAACAAAACAUUAUAUAUGUAUAUUGUAUACAUAGUUUCCGAAAGGAGCAAAACCAGAAGUGACAGCUGACAGUUGACACUAAAGAGAUUAUAUAAGACUACGUUAGAAAAAAACGGCUGACGGUUGACGUUGGAUAGAUGUGUGAUUGAUAUGUUAUUAAAUAAUUAUAGGAAAAAAUAUUGGAAAACCUUUAAUAUUUUUGGACAUCAGGAAUUUUGCUCAGGAAAGUUACGUGUUCUUAUUUAUUUGGCUAUUAAAAAAUAAAAAUAAACAUCGUCUGUACUGUUGGGCGGUGUCUUUCUUUAACCGCUGACCACGUUACGUAAGAUACUCUCAAUCCAUCAUUAUAAUAAAGAUAUGAGUUCCGUAGACCCUCCAGACGGAGGAGGAGGGAAACCCCCUGACUUAGCUGUGUUCAUUGAUUGCACAUCGAAUCCAAAUAAUACAAGUAAUAGGUCAGUCCUGAAACGUUCGGCUGAUCAUGUUCACAUUAGUGAAAUAAAAAAAAAUAGACAACCAUCGGAAUCAAUUCAAUCCCUUUUUUCUGUUCCCGGUUUUGAUAUCAAUUCAAAACUCUUAUAUUCUGCUUCUGACAGAGGACCUUUUAUGGUUUUCAUAUCAACGUCUAUGUCGGAUCCUUCUUCAGGAGUGUUGUUAAAAGCUCUUAAAUUUGCACAAUUCAUGUAUAGACAUGAUAUUAAAGGUGUUAUAGAUGGUGGUAUUAAGUCUCUUGGCCGUAAUAAAUUAUCUGUCCAAUUUAGUUCUGCGGAAGAAGCAAAUAAUUUUGUAGGGAAUAUCGUAUUAUCCGAAAAUAAUUUCGAUGUUACUAUCCCUCGUUUUCAAGUCACUCGCAUGGGUGUCGUUAGAAACAUUCCGACAGAUUGGUCUUUGGAAGAAUUCGUCUCAGAUUUUGUAACUCCACCUUAUUGUGGACAAAUCCUCAGAGUUAGGAGACUAAACUUUAAAAUUAAAAAAGAUGACACAGUCACCCGGGCCCCUUCCUCUACGGUAGUUUUGACUUUCUCAGGGCAAGUUCUCCCGGAGAGGGCUUUUGCUAUCACGCAUCGCUUUCUAUGUCCUGUUAUCAGCUGCCAACUAUUCAAUGUCUGAAUUGUUUGCGUGUUGGGCAUGUCCGUGCUCAAUGCAGAUCAAAUUCCCGAUGCUUUCGGUGCUCCUGAGAGCCCCACCAUGGCGAUAAUUGUGACGUUCCCGAGACUAAUGCAACUUGCCAUUUGUGCAGAGGUGGUAAUCAUAAGGCUACUGACCUGAAGUUCUCUGAACAUGCUAGACAACAAAUUAUUAAGCAAGAAAUGUCUCAGGAUAACAUCAGUUAUCGUGAGGCUUCAUCCAGAUAUCCCUCUUCCAAAUUGUUUUAUGCGGAUGUCACAUCAAACCACUCACAACUUUGAAAUAGCCAGUUUUUCUCCACUCAAAAAUCUCAAAUCCUUCCUUCGUCUUCUGUCAUUCAUCAUUCGCCUAUAAACUCCUCCCAUGUCAAAGCUGUUUUUUGCUCCAAUAGAAAUAAGGUGUAAUCGGAAAAUCGUUUGAUGCAGUGGCUCAUACUUCCAUUGUGAACCCCCCUUCAUCAUCCCAACCUAACGGUUGCGCUAUUCAAAAUCCUCAUAAUGAAACAACUCCCUGUGACUCUCCGGAUGAUAACCUGAUUCAAGAAUGGUGUACCGCCCAAAGUCUUAUUUUUAUUAGAACAACUAUUAAACUCUGUCUAACCAUGGACCUCACAAUUCUUCAAUGGAAUAGUUUUUUUUAAUGUAUGUACAACGAUAGAGGACUAUUCACUCAUAGCGUCUAUUAAAUUUUCAUUGUGGAAAUAAACUCUAAUUUUAAAAAAUCCGUGUAUUUGUUUUUUCAUUUACAAUUUCGCGUUAAAACACGGUGUCACGUGACAUUAUCCCUGAGUGACGUCAUCCGCUCAUACACAAACAUUCGUGACAGUUGGGACUAGUGUGGCCAGGUCGAAUUUGUUCGGGAUCGAGAAAGAAGGUAAAAUGAAUGAGCUAUCAUAUAAAUAUUGUUCGGUGCCGUUAUGUAAAAACUCCACACUACAUAAUCCCGAUAAAUUAUUUAUUCAUGUGCCAAAAUCAAAAGAUUUAAGAAAGAAGUGGUUGACUUUAGCACGAGAUCCAAAAUUACUUCGGAUAAAUCGACGAUUUAUUUUUGUGAAGAUCAUUUCAAUUUGCCUGAAGAUAUGGAAAACUACAUGGAAUAUCACAUUAUGAGAUUAGUAAGCAAGUCCGUUUGAAAGCAAACUGUUUGCCUUCUAAGUUUUCAUGUCAACCAAAUAGAUUAAAGAGAGUACUCCAAAGUGUUUCAAGAUCUGCCACUAACAAAAGACAAUGUAUAGCUCUAGUUCAGGAAGCAGAAACAGCAUUAGAGAAUACUUCUACUUUUACUCUUACUGGAAGUAUUAUAGAUACAGCUAGUGAGUACUUUGUCAAAAUAUCAGAUGCAUCAUACACUUCAUCACCAUCUGUUCAGUCACUACAGUUAAAAUUAACAUCAGAUAGUGAACUAGAAAAUAAACAUGAAACAGAUUUACAUAAAAAACUUAGUAUAAUAAGAGAAAAAAAAGAAAAACAGGAUUUUUGACAAGUAUCACUUGAAAACACUUUAAGGCUAAUCAAAACAAACCCUAGGUUUUAUAUUGGAAUUCCUAAACAAUGUUAUAAUCUAGUCAAUAUAAUACAGACAAAACAGGGGUGCCCGAGGAACAUAUUUUAUUAUGUUUAAGUAAAAUAAGACUUGACACACCGUUUUCCCAGCUUGAAGAUCAAUUUGAUAUAUCUUUGUCAUAUGCUAGCAAAAUAUUUAAAAACAACAUACCAAUGAUUGCCAAAAAAUUAUAUCACUUUGGACGAAUAAGUGAUGUAUUAUUAUUGGAAAAUAGCAAGUUUUUGGACAGUUUACCACCUGGAGUUUCUAUUCUGGCUGACAGAGGCUUCAAACACAUCGUACAACUGUUAUUGCAAAAAGGGUACAAACUGGUUAGGCCUCCUAGUAUUCAAUCCAAUUCCAAGUUAUCUAAGCCAGAGGCUCGAAAAACUAAAGAAAUAGCCAGCUUAAGAAUUCAUAUAGAGAGAGCUAUACGACGCAUAAUGGAGUUUUCUAUGUUGAGACAUCACUCAGUUGUGAAUGCUGGGGCUUUAAACAUUUAGAUGAGUGUAUUAUAAUAGCUUGUGCAUUAAUAAAUAUACAGGAUUCUUUGAUUAAAAAUAAAUAAUGUUAAAAAGCUGUUUUAUUUUGUUCUUUUAUACAAUAAGGAAUAAAUAUUGCUUUUCUAAAAUGUUUUGAACAUAAUAAUAGUCCUAUUUGUUGUAUCAAUGUUUUAUCAGUAGAUUCUCAUAAUAAUCUUUCUUUAAUUUCUGUAUUCCGCAAUCCUCUUAUAAAUUGAACUCUGAGGUGCGUCUCAAAUGUAGUAGUUUUACAAUUUUUACAUGUGAAAUUACAUUGACCGCCAAUUUCCUUAAGUGCAGCUACAUAGUUGGCAAUGCUUUCACAUUCCUGUUGCACUAUUCGACAAAACUUAUGAUGCUGUUCCACUUCUCCGGGCUCCGGUGCAAUAUGGUUGCCAAGCAGACUUACUAAUAUGUCAUAAGAUUUUGACUCUGGUGUUUCCGGUGCAGUAAUAUUUCUUAAUAUUUGGUAAUAUUUUGGGCCAAUACAGUUUAGAAAUAUUUGUACUUUUGUAUAUGAGUCUGUCACUCCUUUUAGGGUAAUGUAAUUUUGCAGCCUUUGUAAGUAGCUUGAAAAUGAUUCAGUGGCUUCAUCAUAUUGUUGUAGCGUAAUGCCACUCAUCUUAAUUGCACUUUGGCUAAGCAGUGCUUGUUGCAGAUUUGCUUGUUGUUGCUGCAUGCCCCGAAUGAUUUCUAACAUUAGUGCAAACACUUGGGAUAUUUGUGCUUCCAUUAUAAUUUUUGCUGUAUAUAAGAUAAAGGAAGGUGUGAAGCGGGCUAUCAACACAAGACAGGAGCCCCUGGAUGAAGAGAAAAUAGGUAGGACGCCACUUGGUCACGUAUGCACUAAUGGGUUGUACUGGUUGUAACCAGUUUCGCCUCGCGGUCCAGAAAUCCAGUCCAGCGGAAAUACAGUCUCGUCGCCAAACUGUUGUGUAUGUACUUAUUGUAGAAAAUAAAGACCCUUAUUAUUAAUGUGUUUAUUUGGUACAAAUGCUUUCAGACCUGUUGGAUUAGACUUGCCCGGUAUGUACUGCUUGAUGCCGCACUUCUCUGUGAAUGGUAUAAUCAUCUCAUCGAAAAAUAAACAUUUCUGUUUUACUUGCUUGCGGCAGCCGUUCAUAAUUUUUUCAAGCAAAGGGCGAACUUUCCACAGUUUGUCUUUGCCGCGGUUCUCUCCGCUAAACAUCAUCGUCAUAAACAAACUUAAGUGAAUUUCUUAACUGCAAAAAUCUGUUUCUAGGCAUAUUAUCUGCAAUCAAUGGGAUUCGGUAUUUGGUUUCCCAGUACAUCCUUAUUCUGGGAUAGUUUAUACUAGCCAUAAUCAUUGUGAUGCCUAGAUAAACAUAUAGUUCAGACUCUAUGAGAUAGAGAUUUUUCCCGAAAUUUUUUAAGUGCGUUUGAUUAUAUUUGGCAACAAUG
Manduca sexta (tobacco hornworm) is the source of this 4800-nucleotide long non-coding RNA. RefSeq lists it as uncharacterized. The record is from RefSeq and is a predicted model, not a curated record. The transcript is spliced from 2 exons. NCBI's taxonomy places the organism in Eukaryota, Metazoa, Arthropoda, Insecta, Lepidoptera, Sphingidae.